AUUGAACGCUGGCGGCAGGCCUAACACAUGCAAGUCGAACGGUAACAGGAAACAGCUUGCUGUUUCGCUGACGAGUGGCGGACGGGUGAGUAAUGUCUGGGAAACUGCCUGAUGGAGGGGGAUAACUACUGGAAACGGUAGCUAAUACCGCAUAACGUCGCAAGACCAAAGAGGGGGACCUUCGGGCCUCUUGCCAUCGGAUGUGCCCAGAUGGGAUUAGCUAGUAGGUGGGGUUACGGCUCACCUAGGCGACGAUCCCUAGCUGGUCUGAGAGGAUGACCAGCCACACUGGAACUGAGACACGGUCCAGACUCCUACGGGAGGCAGCAGUGGGGAAUAUUGCACAAUGGGCGCAAGCCUGAUGCAGCCAUGCCGCGUGUAUGAAGAAGGCCUUCGGGUUGUAAAGUACUUUCAGCGGGGAGGAAGGGAGUAAAGUUAAUACCUUUACUCAUUGACGUUACCCGCAGAAGAAGCACCGGCUAACUCCGUG
Molecule: ribosomal RNA, 490 nt
Filed under: uncultured bacterium
Lineage: Bacteria
Description: partial 16S ribosomal RNA
Rfam family: Bacterial small subunit ribosomal RNA
Source: RNAcentral